This 1397-nucleotide ribosomal RNA is filed under the name uncultured bacterium. RNAcentral's name for it is "bacterial SSU rRNA". It matches the Rfam family "Bacterial small subunit ribosomal RNA". The record is from RNAcentral.
UUAGAGUUUGAUCCUGGCUCAGGAUGAACGCUGGCGGCAUGCCUAAUACAUGCAAGUCGAACGAGAGACCUUCGGGUCUCUAGUGGCGAACGGGUGAGUAACACGUAGGGAACCUGCCCGCGCACCGGGAAUACGCUCUGGAAACGGAGAACAAAUCCCGAUGUACAGGAAGGAGGCAUCUUCUUUCUGUGAAACAUCCUCUAGGGGAUGGGGCGCGGAUGGACCUGCGGUGCAUUAGUUGGUUGGCGGGGUAAAGGCCCACCAAGACGAUGAUGCAUAGCCGGCCUGAGAGGGCGGACGGCCACAUUGGGACUGAGACACGGCCCAGACUCCUGCGGGAGGCAGCAGUAGGGAAUUUUCGUCAAUGGGCGCAAGCCUGAACGAGCGAUGCCGCGUGAGUGAAGAAGGCCUUCGGGUCGUAAAGCUCUGUUGCGGGGGAAAAAAGGCAGCAUCAGGAAAUGGGUGCUGACUGAUGGUGCCCCGCCAGAAAGUCACGGCUAACUACGUGCCAGCAGCCGCGGUAAUACGUAGGUGGCGAGCGUUAUCCGGAAUGAUUGGGCGUAAAGGGUGCGCAGGCGGUCCUGCAAGUCUGGAGUGAAACGCAUGAGCUCAACUCAUGCAUGGCUUUGGAAACUGGAGGACUGGAGAGCAGGAGAGGGCGGUGGAACUCCAUGUGUAGCGGUAAAAUGCGUAGAUAUAUGGAAGAACACCAGUGGCGAAGGCGGCCGCCUGGCCUGUUGCUGACGCUGAGGCACGAAAGCGUGGGGAGCAAAUAGGAUUAGAUACCCUAGUAGUCCACGCCGUAAACGAUGAGGACCAAGUGUUGGGGGUGAAACCUCAGUGCUGAAGUUAACGCAGUGAGUCCUCCGCCUGGGGAGUAUGCACGCAAGUGUGAAACUCAAAGGAAUUGACGGGGGCCCGCACAAGCGGUGGAGUAUGUGGUUUAAUUCGAAGCAACGCGAAGAACCUUACCAGUUCUUGACAUCCCAAUGAAUAAAGGGUAAAGCCUUUAGCCCUUCGGGGCAUUGGAGACAGGUGGUGCAUGGUUGUCGUCAGCUCGUGUCGUGAGAUGUUGGGUUAAGUCCCGCAACGAGCGCAACCCCUAUUUCCAGUAGCCAGCAGGUAAGGCUGGGCACUCUGGAGAGACUGCCCGGGACAACCGGGAGGAAGGCGGGGAUGACGUCAAAUCAUCAUGCCCCUUAUGGCCAGGGCGACACACGUGCUACAAUGGCGUAAACAAAGGGAAGCAGGACGGCGACGUUGAGCAAAUCCCAGAAAUAACGUCCCAGUUCGGAUUGUAGUCUGCAACCCGACUACAUGAAGCUGGAAUCGCUAGUAAUCGCAGAUCAGAAUGCUGCGGUGAAUACGUUCCCGGGCCUUGCACUCACCGCCCGUCA